Molecule: ribosomal RNA, 465 nt
Filed under: uncultured bacterium
Lineage: Bacteria
Description: partial 16S ribosomal RNA
Rfam family: Bacterial small subunit ribosomal RNA
Source: RNAcentral
CCUACGGGUGGCAGCAGUGGGGAAUAUUGCGCAAUGGGCGAAAGCCUGACGCAGCGACGCCGCGUGAGGGAUGAAGGUCUUCGGAUCGUAAACCUCUGUCAGCAGGGAAGAACGGUCACUGUGCUAAUCAGCAGUGAAUUGACGGUACCUGCAAAGGAAGCACCGGCUAACUCCGUGCCAGCAGCCGCGGUAAUACGGAGGGUGCGAGCGUUAAUCGGAAUUACUGGGCGUAAAGCGCUCGUAGGCGGUAUGUCAAGUCAGUGGUGAAAUCCCCGCGCUCAACGUGGGAACUGCCUGUGAUACUGGCAAACUGGAGUGUGUGAGAGGAUAGUGGAAUUCGAGGUGUAGGAGUGAAAUGCGUAGAUAUCUGGAGGAACAUCAGUGGCGAAGGCGACUAUCUGGCACAUAACUGACGCUGAGGAGCGAAAGCGUGGGUAGCAAACAGGAUUAGAUACCCCAGUAGUC